CUAACGACAUCAUAUUGUAAUGUUAACUAGCUAGAAUAAGAGAGACGAAUACUCAAUUUUUCAAGAAGAAGAAAACGAAAAGCGCAGUUUCAAGAAUGAUAAAAACAAAGAUUGCGCAAUGACGAGUUCAAAUUUUGUUCGUUGUUCGUUGUAUUGCAGGCAUACAAAAUCAUGAAUAUCAUCAAAAGUUAACAUCAAUAUAAAUAUAACCCAAAAGCUGGAUGCCAUUAAGAGCCGUCUCACUGCAAUUUAAAAGUCCCUAACAAACAAAAUGCCAGAAAAGGCCGAGAUGCAGACGCAUGCCGCGUCAUAGCGGCAAAGACAAACAUUUCAAUUAGCCGCAUCACCGGUGACUUGGAGGAUGAGCGUUACGUGGAGCUCGAGUCGAAAUUGCCUAUGUCAUCGGAAGAGCACGGGUGCUUCGGGGACAAACAUUCACAAAUGAAAAUGGAUAUUAGUUUUAAGUUGUAAAUAUUAGUUCUAAGUUGUAUAUAUUAGUUCUAAGUUGAAGUCUCUAAAUUUAGUUUUACUAAUAUGCUUUUUUAACUAAUAACUUUUAUACUGAAGUAAACUUAAUCUUAUGUUUAAGUAAGUAUGAUUUUAUUAUUAAAUAAAGCGAAA
Bactrocera dorsalis (oriental fruit fly) is the source of this 621-nucleotide long non-coding RNA. RefSeq lists it as uncharacterized. The record is from RefSeq and is a predicted model, not a curated record. The transcript is spliced from 3 exons. NCBI's taxonomy places the organism in Eukaryota, Metazoa, Arthropoda, Insecta, Diptera, Tephritidae.